GUGUCAGCCGCCGCGGUAAGACGUAGGGCGCGAGCGUUGUCCGGAUUUAUUGGGCGUAAAGAGCUCGUAGGCGGCUCGUCGCGUCGACCGUGAAAACAGGCAGCUCAACUGUGUGCUUGCGGUCGAUACGGGCGGGCUAGAGUUCGGUAGGGGAGACUGGAAUUCCUGGUGUAGCGGUGAAAUGCGCAGAUAUCAGGAGGAACACCGGUGGCGAAGGCGGGUCUCUGGGCCGAUACUGACGCUGAGGAGCGAAAGCGUGGGGAGCGAACAGGAUUAGAUACCCCCGUAGUCC
RNAcentral lists this ribosomal RNA (292 nucleotides) under uncultured bacterium. RNAcentral's name for it is "partial 16S ribosomal RNA". It matches the Rfam family "Bacterial small subunit ribosomal RNA", at positions 505 to 796 of the family's 1533-position model. The record is from RNAcentral.